Non-coding RNA from Mycena polygramma, 82 nucleotides. Lineage: Eukaryota; Fungi; Basidiomycota; Agaricomycetes; Agaricales; Mycenaceae. The record is from the annotation of a GenBank genome assembly.
GCAUUAAUGGGGUAGUGGUAACCUGGGUCGUUGCCAUUUCCGGAUUUUCGACCCGCCGGGGGUUCGAUUCCCUCUUAAUGCA